RNAcentral lists this ribosomal RNA (517 nucleotides) under uncultured bacterium. Its description in RNAcentral is "bacterial SSU rRNA". It matches the Rfam family "Bacterial small subunit ribosomal RNA", at positions 355 to 889 of the family's 1533-position model. The record is from RNAcentral.
UGGGGAAUAUUGGACAAUGGGCGCAAGCCUGAUCCAGCCAUGCCGCGUGAGUGAUGAAGGCCCUAGGGUUGUAAAGCUCUUUCAACGGUGAAGAUAAUGACGGUAGCAGGUAAAGAAACCCCGGCUAACUCCGUGCCAGCAGCCGCGGUAAUACGGAGGGGGUUAGCGUUGUUCGGAAUUACUGGGCGUAAAGCGCACGUAGGCGGACCAGAAAGUUGGGGGUGAAAUCCCGGGGGCUCAACCCCGGAACUGCCUCCAAAACUAUUGGUCUAGAGUUCGAGAGAGGUGAGUGGAAUUCCGAGUGUAGAGGUGAAAUUCGUAGAUAUUCGGAGGAACACCAGUGGCGAAGGCGGCUCACUGGCUCGAUACUGACGCUGAGGUGCGAAAGUGUGGGGAGCAACGAGGAUUAGAUACCCUGGUAGUCCACACCGUAAACGAUGAAUGCCAGUCGUCGGGUAGCAUGCUAUUCGGUGACACACCUAACGGAUUAAGCAUUCCGCCUGGGGAGUACGGUCGC